RNAcentral lists this ribosomal RNA (551 nucleotides) under uncultured bacterium. RNAcentral describes it as "bacterial SSU rRNA". It matches the Rfam family "Bacterial small subunit ribosomal RNA", at positions 777 to 1329 of the family's 1533-position model. The record is from RNAcentral.
AAUAGAUACCCUGGUAGUCCACGCCCUAAACUAUGUCAACUAGUUGUCGGGGAAGAAAUUCCUUGGUAACGCAGCUAACGCGUGAAGUUGACCGCCUGGGGAGUACGGCCGCAAGGUUAAAACUCAAAGGAAUUGACGGGGACCCGCACAAGCGGUGGAUUAUGUGGAUUAAUUCGAUGCAACGCGAAAAACCUUACCUACCCUUGACAUGUACGGAGUUCCGCAGAGAUGUGGAAGUGCCCGAAAGGGAACCGUAACACAGGUGCUGCAUGGCUGUCGUCAGCUCGUGUCGUGAGAUGUUGGGUUAAGUCCCGCAACGAGCGCAACCCUUGCCAUUAGUUGCUACAUUCAGUUGGGCACUCUAAUGGGACCGCCGGUGACAAACCGGAGGAAGGUGGGGAUGACGUCAAGUCCUCAUGGCCCUUAUGGGUAGGGCUUCACACGUAAUACAAUGGUCGGUACAGAGGGCUGCCAACCCGCAAGGGGGAGCUAAUCCCAGAAAGCCGAUCGUAGUCCGGAUUGUAGUCUGCAACUCGACUGCAUGAAGCCGG